This 343-nucleotide ribosomal RNA is filed under the name Klebsiella pneumoniae. Its description in RNAcentral is "bacterial LSU rRNA". It matches the Rfam family "Bacterial large subunit ribosomal RNA", at positions 541 to 888 of the family's 2925-position model. Lineage: Bacteria; Pseudomonadati; Pseudomonadota; Gammaproteobacteria; Enterobacterales; Enterobacteriaceae. The record is from RNAcentral.
AAAAAGAACCUGAAACCGUGUACGUACAAGCAGUGGGAGCACCUUCGGGUGUGACUGCGUACCUUUUGUAUAAUGGGUCAGCGACUUAUAUUCUGUAGCAAGGUUAACCGUAUAGGGGAGCCGCAGGGAAACCGAGUCUUAACUGGGCGUUAAGUUGCAGGGUAUAGACCCGAAACCCGGUGAUCUAGCCAUGGGCAGGUUGAAGGUUGGGUAACACUAACUGGAGGACCGAACCGACUAAUGUUGAAAAAUUAGCGGAUGACUUGUGGCUGGGGGUGAAAGGCCAAUCAAACCGGGAGAUAGCUGGUUCUCCCCGAAAGCUAUUUAGGUAGCGCCUCGUGAA